This 112-nucleotide small RNA is filed under the name Thalassolituus oleivorans. Its description in RNAcentral is "Guanidine-I sequence". It matches the Rfam family "Guanidine-I riboswitch aptamer". Rfam says of the family: This family represents a conserved RNA structure found upstream of the ykkC and yxkD genes in Bacillus subtilis and related genes in other bacteria. The function of this family is unclear although it has been suggested that it may function to switch on efflux pumps and detoxification systems in response to harmful environmental molecules. RNAcentral also lists the same sequence under 1 other name. The record is from RNAcentral. Lineage: Bacteria; Pseudomonadati; Pseudomonadota; Gammaproteobacteria; Oceanospirillales; Oceanospirillaceae.
ACAAUGGGUUACUAGGGUUCCGGCUUCACAUUUUGAAGUGCUGGUCCGAGAGUAACCGACCUUUCAGCUGCGCACUGUUAAGGUUACACGGAGGGAUAAAAGCCCGGGAGAU